Megalobrama amblycephala (Wuchang bream) is the source of this 1364-nucleotide long non-coding RNA. RefSeq lists it as uncharacterized. The record is from RefSeq and is a predicted model, not a curated record. The transcript has 2 exons. NCBI's taxonomy places the organism in Eukaryota, Metazoa, Chordata, Actinopteri, Cypriniformes, Xenocyprididae.
UCUGAGAGCAAAAUUAAGUGACUAGAUCAAUGAAGAAAUUAGUUUUCUUGUAAACAAUUUGUGCUCUAAUAGUAAUUUAUUUAUUGGUGAUGGUAGGGCACAUUUGUCGCAUACACAAGAUAUAGUAGGCUAAAAGAUAGUUCAUAAUUGGUCAAACGUGUACAGUAUACAAUUAAAACCAUAAAACCAUUAAAAAUAUGUAGCAAAAGAGGUUACCUUUGUUGAAUUAAUUUAUUAGUGGGAGCCUGUAUCUAUACAUCUGUAUUUGUUAAACAAUCCAGAAUGCACUAAACACAUUACUUCAUUGUAGAGAAAAAAAACAAAUUAAUAAAAUCAUAUAAUCAUUAGCUGACCAAUAAAUAAAUAAGUAAACUAGGUGAGUAGCCUAUAUAAUUCAGGAGCAAAAAGUAUUCUAGCCUAAUUCUUGGAAAAAACAACUUUGCACAGUAAUUUUAUAAAUCCAAAUGAUAAUAAAAAGUUUAAAAUUACUAUUUGUAUUCUUAUGAAAUGAAGAAAAAAAAAAACUAUUUAUAUUAGAUUUAUGUAAAUAAUUAUAUGUAUUUAUAUUAAUGUAAGAUUAAAAGACGCUUAUUUUAAAUGUAUUGUGCAGCUUUUUAAUGGGGCAACAAGAUAUGAUAGAUACGACAGAAUCUAUUUGCUCUGACAGAAAUAAUCUUUCAGUGUGCAAAACCAUUAUAAUAUAAAACGCUUCAAAUCAGCAGCAAAAAACCGCUAAUGCGCAUCCCGGGUGCAGAAUGAUGUGCUUGAAGCAAUAUGGAGUCGGAGCGUGCAGUUGCGCUGCGCAUUGAAAAGUUCACGGUACAAAGAAUCCCUGUGUAUAUCUGCAUCUAACAGUUUAUUAAACAUAUGUUUCUUUUCACUUUUAAAUUCCAGUUAUUGUGCGUGUGACGCAAAUUCAUAGCCCUUGUGUUGUGCGAUCUAACAGACAUCCUGUAGCCAGUAUGAUGACAUCGUUAAGAAACAGCAAUAAACUCCAACAAGAUAAAAACACGACGCGCUGCUUGAGUGCUGAACAGAGAAUGAUUGACAGCUGUGGCAGAGGGAAGACGAGUUUCUGACCGUGAAUUUAACGAUGUUCUCCCUCACAUGAAGCUAUGGAAUGGCUUCAGAUUAAUUUGAAUAUAGUGCACGAAAAUUUAAUUGGUGCUAGUCUACUUAUUUUGCUCUAUGACUCCCACUUUUGCCAUAAAAAGUGCAAUUAUCAGACGGUUAUUUAAAUAUCGCUUCAAACCUAAUUUCCAUUUCAUUUUGAGACUGUGGCGGGACAAAUUAGAAUGUGGCGGGCCGCCACAGUCUAGUCAAUGUAUGGGAAACACUGAUAUAUGUAUGAAGAGUUUCGUUAU